UGAUUAUAUAAGUGUUGAAAUAAAAUUCUCUAAAAAGCACAUAAUUUAUUAUUAAUUGGAAUAAUUAAUGGCGACAUCGGUGAAAUAUAUGAAGCCAAUUAUCUUCGCGUUACUGCUAAUGAUAAUGACAUCUAGUUUGGCAUUAGGUGAGGAGGGGUGCAUUCCGAAAGGGAAAAAAUGCGGAUGGGGACAUUCAAGUACAUGUUGCACAGACUUAUCAUGUGUAAAUCCCAACUUCGAUGAUGUUAGUUAUUGUUGUACCCUUAAAAUUUUGGGUUUAUUCAUUUUGUGUAACCCUUAGAAUUUUGGAUUUAUUCAUUUUGUGUAACAAUUGAAACGAAUAAGGAAUGACCUUAUUAAUUGGGUCAAACUAAGUUACGGGCUUGGUUGUGGUUGUAUUUGUAUUCGUUUAUAUAUAUUCCGUACUAUAAGAGGCCAUCCACGCAAAAAGUUCAAAUUGUUGUUAAAUCUUUUUCAUAUAACUGAAACUUUGAUGA
This is a long non-coding RNA of Spinacia oleracea (spinach), 497 nucleotides long. RefSeq lists it as uncharacterized. NCBI's taxonomy places the organism in Eukaryota, Viridiplantae, Streptophyta, Magnoliopsida, Caryophyllales, Amaranthaceae. The transcript has 2 exons. The record is from RefSeq and is a predicted model, not a curated record.